Molecule: long non-coding RNA, 6802 nt
Organism: Corvus hawaiiensis (hawaiian crow)
Lineage: Eukaryota; Metazoa; Chordata; Aves; Passeriformes; Corvidae
Exons: 3
Source: RefSeq, a predicted model, not a curated record
GUGUUUAGAAACUCUGCUCAUCUGGUACUGCAGCCGCCUGAUUUCCAGUUGCCACUCCCCCAUCGAUAAAUGAGAUUGUAGCACUGCUGUAGGUGGGAUAAAAAUAAAGUCACUAGCUCUCAGGACUUGUUGCAAAAUUCUUUAUGUACAAAUACUAAUUUCUUGCUGAAUUCUUAAGCAAAUACAAAUUGAACACUCAGGUAAGAAAAAUGAAAUCCAAGAUGAAUGUGAUAUGGAAUCAUGAAGUCCUGCCUCAAACAGAGACCAGUAGCUGAGAUUUCAGAGCUGGCCUCCAGCUGGGACCACUUGUGAUAUUUACAGAUGGGAUGCUGCAGAUGAGAGAUUUGCUUUGCCAUGGAUGGAGGCAGCAUGCAGUGGAGUAUCAGAGCCAGAGGUACCAUCCUUCGUUGUUGCAAAACCUCCCCACAGUAUUUGGUGGUAAGAUGCUUUCCAGCAGCUUUAUUCUUGUUCCUGGACAGAAUAGGGAAUGCUCCUUCUCAUAAGACAUAGAACAUUAGAUUCACCAGAUGCUUUUUUCAGCAAAUCAGGCAUUAGGGGGUCUGGGGGCAAGUAAGUUGCCUGGGAGGAUAGGGGAAUUUGGCUCACUGCUCAGCAGAGGAUGUCCCAGGCCCAAGGGGACUGUUUAUACCUUGGUAUAUCUUUGUAAGCCAGAGGGAAAUGCCCUUUCAAACAUGUUAAAAUUCAUUAAAGCUUUAGAGAGAAAAACAGAGUCUGGAUAACCAGAUGUUUGGACGGGGUAUACUCUGGCAGUUGGUAAUUAGCUUUAUAGAAGUAGGACAAGAACAGACUGAUCACAAUAGAAAUAAUAAUAUGCUGAUCUUUUCUGUUUUUCUGUGUCCCACCCCUCCAUGACUGCCUGCUUGUUCCCCAGAGAUAUCAAACCUUUGGCCAGAGCAGUUAGAAAUGUGGUUUAAACAGCUGUCAUUUUGCAUCCUGCUGGCUGUUUAGCUCCCUUUUAUCCUCUGUCCCAGAUGCAGGGCUCUUCAUGAAUGAUGUACUUGCAUAGUCCCUCUGCUUGAAGUACUGACUGUCCUUCCUGAACAAGUUCUUUCUCAGUGUCAUGCAAGACAAAAAACCAACUGCUGUCCCAACAGUAGUUAAAUUUUUUCAAACAUUUUCGUUUGUUGAUGUUUGUUUAUUGUUAAAUACUGGCAGCUGAGCAGCCAUUGUCCAUGAUGGUGCGUGUGCAUCUACACUGGCACAAUGGACUGCUCUGUGACUAUAGAUUUUCUCUUGUGUUUUCUUUUUCAUUGGCAAGUUAAAACAAUAUAGAACUAUUUCAGUCCCAAACCCUGAAUAAAGGAUUAAGAAUUUAACAAAGAAAUACUUCUAAUGCUUGUGAGAAAAAGCAGCUGAACAUCAUUCCCGUAAUUAAUUGAAUGACUUGUCAUAGAAUAAUACUAUGGUUUACACUGUUGGGGACCUUAAAGAUCAUCUAGUUCCAACCCCCUGGCAUGGGCAGGGACACCUUCCACUAGACCAUAUUGCUCAGGGCCCCCUCCAACUUGGUCUUGAACCCUCCCAGGGAUGGGGCAUCCACAGCUUCUCUGAGCAACUUGUUCCGGUACCUCAUCACCCUCACCGUAAAGAAUUUCGUCUUAGUAUCAAAUCUAGCCCUACUGUCUUUCAGUUUUAAGCCAUUCCCUUUGUCCUAUGGACUUAAAAUUAGCUCAUUUUAAUGACUUUGGGUGGCAACUAUCAUAAAUGUCUGAAAAGAGUCUUUAUCAUGCUCAGAAAGUUAAGUAACUGGUUCAUCCAUGUUUCAUACUGGAUGAAGUUCUACAACUUCCAUUCUUUUGUGCUGGGAAUACCGGCACUGCAGACACUGACUUGCUGGGAGGUGGAAUUGGCAUACCUUUAGUCCACCACCAUUUCAUAAUGGUCAUAUGAACUGUUUGUUGAUGAUGGAAUUAGUGGAACCGCUUCUCACCAAUCAAUAUUACCACCCUGGGAUACUGUCUAGUUUACUGAAUACUUGUCUGAUAAUCAUUUUACCUACCUACCUAUUAAAGAAAUCCAUGGCCAUAGUAGCAUGGCAACCUUGAAAAUCCUCAAGAAGUUUAUAAAUUGCUUGUACCACCGUACUAAGUGGUUAAAUUGAUACUAACAUUUUACUGGUUUUAACAUGUGUGAAGGUAAAAGUCUGUGGUGCCCUAAAGAAAAUGUUGUGAUUUGAAUGGUGCUCAAAGUUUUGAGAUCAAGUCUAAGCCUUAAUUCAGUGUUUUCCUACAUCCUUCACUUUAUGGAUCUUUAAGUUUUGGCCAAUGAAGAAAUAUAGCCUUCUGAAAACUUUGCAUAUAUAGUUAAUUACAAAAGAGAUAUGCUUUCUUAAAAAUGUGCUCUUUAAAAAAUCUGGUUUUGUGGGCACCUUGGAAAUAGUUCACAGGACUUUGAGAGAUCUGCAAACUAGAAGUUGAAAGUUCAAAGCUACAGGUUUAAAGCAUAAAGGAUGUUGUUCAGUGAGCCAUCACAGUAGGGGCAAUAUUAUUUAGUAAUGAUGAAUAGAGAGCAAACUUAUUGUAAUGGUAGCAUCUCUAGUAUUUACUAAUUAACUAUUUCCUUUUGAAAUCAUUCUACAAGGUCAAAUGUUUGCUGCAGAAGAGUUUGCCAUCUCUUAUCUUGGCUUGUGUGUGUGUGCUGCUGUGCAGUGAUUGCUUCACAAGGAAGGCUAAUGUCUAUGGAGCUACCAGAGGACAGAUUUUCUCUAAGCGUUGAUUUUGUACAUUGUUGAAGUGCAAGGACCAAUCCUGACAUUGGAUAUGAUUUAUUCAGUGGGUGGGAAAGUUGUCUGCAGCAGGUGGAUUUAUUCCAAACUCUAAGAAGCUACAGCCCUGUAGGAAUUUUUUGUUGCUUGGAUGUGUGUGAAAGGUGUUUGCAAUGUUUGAUAAACAGCACAAGAGUAGGAUAAAAAUCUCUCUGGCUUCUCAAGAAAUCUCAUUAUUCAUGGUGUAACUGUAAAAUUUGCUGCUUGCUCGUGAGGACAAAUUUGAAAUGAAAAUAAACAUUUUCCUCUCUUUAUGAACUCUUAAACCAUUUAUAAAAUGUUACAUAUGUAUUCACAUAUUCACACACACACCUUCCUGGAAGUUUUUGUCCUUGCUUAUUUUCUGCACAGUGCUUUUUUGUUGUUGUUGAAUAUCUGUGACAUAUGAGCUACUCAUACUUUUUGCUCAACACAAGGUGGCAGUAAGAUAUUGUCCAGUGACAUACAAUAGCUUGGGUUGCUUGUUUUCCCUCCUGUUUACUUAGCCGUCAAAUAACAAAAGCCCUCGUGAUGAAUGAGCAUUGAAAGCAAAAGAGGUUGUAAUAACAACGGUUUAAAAGGUGCACAGAUAAAGCAAAUGCUCCAGAUAAGAUUCCAACUGAUUUGCUACACUAUAGUAAGCCAUAUUGUAUCAUACUGUGGACAGUAUCACAAAAUGAUAUAUUGCUCUCUUUUUAUCCUUCUGUUGUUAUUAUUUCAUUGGAAUUUGCACAUUAAAUAAAGGCUGCUAGUGCAAAGGUGGAAAUUUACCUGGUUUUCAAUUUGUAAUUUAAAAACAACACAAUAUUGUUUGAGAUUCUGCAUGUUGGAAGAGACAAAGCUUUCUACCUCAGUUUUUGGUUGUCUGGAAAACACUCCAGUAUCAUUGCAUUGAGUAGUAGCUAGAGCAAUAAACUCCUUUUCAAAAUGAAGUGAGAGGGAGAAAUAAAGAGCAAUGUGCCAGAGUAUUUCACUGACAAUGUUAGGAGAGGUUUUUCCCUUGUUUUGGUUGGAUAUAGGUCAUAUGCUGACAAUCCUGAGUGCAGACCAGCAAUUUGCAAAUGUAGCUGCUGUUUCUUUUAUUAUUUGUAUUCAUAUUCCAGCAGGCCCAAAGCAGAUUCAAAGCAUGGCUGGGAUACUGGACUUGCUAAUAUGAUUGAAAUUCAUCCUUUUGGGACAAGUUAUGGUAUUUAAGGUCCAUCUCACUCCCAGCUUCCCAGAAUACUAUGAAGCAUUUUUGCAUCAUGUUUUUGACUAGCUGUUUACCUGAAAAGGAGUUCCAGCAGCAUGACCCCAACCUCCCAGCAGCCACUUGGUUUGUCUGUAGCCUCUGUACACACUAACACACAUGUUGAGAACAAAACACAAAUUAGAGAUGUUUCUGACAAGCUGAUUGAAUGGAAACUCUGCCUCCUCGUUUCACAAGUUAUGCACGUGCGGUUUAUUUUCCAAGAACUGGUUGGCAGAGAUCAUGUUAUUCUCUUUUCCAUCAGAAUGAUUCACUUAUAGCUGCUAAAAGCCAAUACCACUGUUGAUACUGUGAACUCCUGUGCAUGUGGAUCACUCACACUCAGCUUGGAAUAUGCAUCCUUUAGUAUCUAUCAAAAAUCUAUUCGUUUUCUGAUGUUAUAAAAUAAUAAAGACCAUUAUAAAUACUGUUACACAGCAAUGUAGACCUACUUCUUCUCUUGCUUACCCCUUACAGUUUUGCCCUUGAAUACUUGCCAUCAGGAGAUGAAUUAUGGACUUUGAGACUAUACAAAAUAAUGCAGUUUUCAGGAAGAAAAUUCCCAGUAAUAAUCUUGAUUUUAUGAUAAUGGCUUUUAUGAUAAUGAAGAAUAGCCCCUGCAGAGCACCUUUAAAGUGGUGUUUGCACUAUUCUCAACGUGUGGUUUAUGCAUGAUCACAGGGUUUGGUGUAAUAAAAUGAUACGCUGUAAAACUUAUCUUCUUCGUCUAUGUAUGACUGUUCAAGAUAAUAAUAAAAUUGAUGGUCCUAGGGACUCUUCUGGAAAUCUUCUUAGGAUUCAGCUGUUGUCCAAGGACUCUAAACUAAAUGUUUCAUGUGAGUUUCAUGGUUCUGCAUCAUAAAAAUCAAAAAUGUGUAGAAAUAUUGUUAUUAUUGUUAUUCUGUGCUGAGCUAACAAGUCAUGUGUCUUCUUUCUAUGGGACUAAAGAUAACAAACACUGCAACACUUGGCUGCAAAGUGAUAAUUAUUCACAGAGAAUAGGGGCUUCUGCUUCAAUAUAUACCUGCAGUUUCCUUGGAUGAAAGUCCAGCAAAUCUGAUACUGCUCAAAAUGUGACUCUUAUAAAACUGAGACUCCACGGUAAAGGAAUCUUCUCUGAAAAUAUCUGGCUACUUGUGAAGUCUUUCUAAGAGAGUUUUAGUAUCUGGUAACAUUGCUUUGAAGUUUUUACAUUAUUUUAAUCAUGUGCCAUUGAUUUAAGUUUGUAAGCCUGAAAUAGCGCAUUUUCGACACCCUCAUAUUACAUUGGAAUGGCUGAAACUCUAGUAAACAGAGCUAUUACAUUGAAUGCCCAAGAGAGGGACACGGGAAAAAAAAAAUCAGUAGCAUGCUCCAAGAAAGAAAUCUGAGGUCAAACAGUUUUCAUGGGAGACAAACUACGUGGCUGGUAUUAUCCUGGCUAAUUGUGGGUUACAGAAUCUCUCUUGAGAUUUUAUCAUGGCCAAUUGCUGUAUUAGCUUUCCUUUUCUACAUCUGUUUGUGGGUGUGGAGAGCACUCAGAAGUGACCCUUUCCUUGAAGACUUUUUGUACAAGGAGCACGGAUGAGAUGCUAGCACAGACUGUCUGAAUGGAUUUGCUGUGCUGUUCGUAGGUUUGCUGGCCAUAUUCACAUAGACAGCAGACAGGUUCUCUGUCUUUAGGCUUCUUGGCACAGUGGAUGGUUCUCUGGCAUAAAUCAUGUUUUGUAUGCACAUGAGGAACAACGUGGUCUCUUCUGAGAAGCAGGAUAACCUCAGGGUUAAAGAUAUUUUGAGGAAUUUUCAAGCCAGUUAAGUUGUCUGCAUAAACAAGGCCAUCCUGUCAGUGAAGUGUUUCUUAAUUUCUGCUUCUAAUUAAUACAUGCAGUCACAUCUUUUUCAUACAAACACCUGAUUUCCAGCUCUUUUCCCAACCCUAUUAAAAUUGGUACAACAACCAGUGGUUUCAGCUGGGUUAGGACUUGAACAUCUGUCAUUAAGAGUUGCUGUGCAGUUUUAAGGCAAACCAGUCUGAAAAGCUUUAUGUCUUAAAUGCUAGCAAUUUCUGGGACCAUAUAAAAAUGAUACCUCUUUCUUUUCUGAGUAUCUUACUAUGUGGUACAAAGUUUGGACUAGACUAUGCUUGUUAUAUUUACUGUGACAUUCAUUUCUUGUACACAGAGGCAGGACUUCUCUUUCAGAAGGCAGGAUUGUGGACGACAAGCAGCUGAAUAGCAGGAUGAUGGUGCUUUUUGGGAAAUAGUCACUACUUUGUUUUAUAAUUCUGUAUUGCAAAAAGGAUCCAGGUGUUACAGAUUCAAGCUUUAGUCAGAAGCUCUCCAUGUCUUCAUGCAGAGAAAAGAACAAAAUUUUUAAGUGUAUCUUAAAUGAAAAUUGAAGAGAUUAUAAUGUGUUUUUCUUACAGUAGGUCAAGAAGCCAAAUACAGCCCAAGCAAGUGGAGAAAGACACAGAUUUUGGAGCAGUGCAGAUCCUGGUAUUUAAACAACCUAGGAUUACAAAAGGGACUUUGUAAUUGAAUUGUAAAAAUUUAGCAUACUAUGAGCUGCAUGCUCCUCUUGUAUCAUCAGUUGUUCAUAAGCUCAUUACUUAUCCCUGAAGGCUAGACUAAUUUUCUUUGCGGUCUUCAUCCUAAGUAUUUUGUGAGCAGGAAAGUAAAUGAAAUAAAUUCUUUCUGAUUCCAUAGCAGAAAAAUCUUAGGUCAGCACUGAGUGCCAUUUGUAUGUUGUCAUUGAGAGCCAGCUUGACUCUGGGCAUAAAGUAUGAGAAUUUGACUCCUGUUUGAUUUUAAGAAUAAACUAUUUUAAGGUUA